Molecule: long non-coding RNA, 498 nt
Organism: Pan troglodytes (chimpanzee)
Lineage: Eukaryota; Metazoa; Chordata; Mammalia; Primates; Hominidae
Exons: 3
Source: RefSeq, a predicted model, not a curated record
GCCUAAAAGCUGAAACACGUACACCAAUGGUGACCAUGUGGUAUGAGUACAAUAGCAGAACCAGACACAAUGUCUUUGAAUCACUGACAAGUCAUUUCAGAGGGGUAGGCAACCAAUGGGCAGAGAAGGGAAACAGAACCCCGGCAGUGGGUAGGCCUCUCUCAUGGAACAUGUUGGAACUACUGAUUGGGCACACCGUUCUCGGAGAUUCUUGGACAAAUUCUGUUGUACAGGGUCUGAAAUUCAGCCCAUUCCCACCCAGAAAGCAAGGAGAUAUAAUCAAAGAAUUCAGGACCUGAUCAAACUCCUACCCCACUUUGAAGACAUCAUCCAGUUAUCCUAGUUAUCCAACCACCAGAAGGAAAGAAUAGUGAAAAGACUAAAGCUUCACAGACUUGUAUGGAAGAAAUGUUAACAGCAGAGGGGUGAAAUCUGUAUGGUGAACAUCCGAGUGGGUACAGAAUAAAGUGUCAAGGGCUGGUCUCUUGGUGCAUGGUC